Molecule: unclassified non-coding RNA, 233 nt
Filed under: plant metagenome
Description: partial contains small subunit ribosomal RNA, internal transcribed spacer 1, and 5.8S ribosomal RNA
Rfam family: Eukaryotic small subunit ribosomal RNA (bases 1-54)
Source: RNAcentral
GGAAGUAAAAGUCGUAACAAUUUUUCCGUAGGUGAACCUGCGGAAGGAUCAUUCAUAAUAAAGUGUUUUAUGGCACUUUUUAAAAAUCCAUAUCCACCUUGUGUGCAAUGUUAGAUCUCGUCAAUCUUGGCGAGAUUUUUAUACAUCAACUCAUUCUUUAACUAAUUUGUCUGAAAAAUAUUAUGAAUACUUAAUUCAAAAUACAACUUUCAACAACGGAUCUCUUGGCUCUC